UACGUAGGAUCCGAGCGUUGUCCGGAUUUACUGGGUGUAAAGGGUGCGUAGGCGGUCGGGUAAGUCUGAUGUGAAAUCUCACAGCUUAACUGUGAAACUGCAUUGGAUACUAUCCGGCUCGAGGAAUGGAGGGGAGACUGGAAUACUUGGUGUAGCAGUGAAAUGCGUAGAUAUCAAGUGGAACACCAGUGGCGAAGGCGAGUCUCUGGACAUUUCCUGACGCUGAGGCACGAAAGCCAGGGGAGCAAACGGG
RNAcentral lists this ribosomal RNA (253 nucleotides) under uncultured bacterium. Its description in RNAcentral is "partial 16S ribosomal RNA". It matches the Rfam family "Bacterial small subunit ribosomal RNA", at positions 524 to 776 of the family's 1533-position model. The record is from RNAcentral.